RNA transcript from Scleropages formosus (Asian bonytongue), 8415 nucleotides. It is a transcript of the gene named Rho guanine nucleotide exchange factor (GEF) 40, with no coding region annotated. The transcript is spliced from 27 exons. NCBI's taxonomy places the organism in Eukaryota, Metazoa, Chordata, Actinopteri, Osteoglossiformes, Osteoglossidae. The record is from RefSeq and is a predicted model, not a curated record.
GGCUGCUGCCGCCGCGCGCGCUCCAUUGUGGAUUCAUCUCUUGUCCCGCUAGAGGAAAAGUAGGAAAAAGUUAGUGCCGCGCGCCUCCGCGCAGGAAAGACACAGGGAGGGGUGCGCGCCUGGCUGCGCGCGGGCGACAGGGGGGGCCGGCGGGUGGGGGGAGGACACUAGGGUCCCGCGCGGACACGAGCGCACUCCGUACUCGCCUGCAGACGCGAGAAUAUAACAUUUUUACGCGUAACCUUGCUGGAAGGGAAGAGGGAGCGCGAGCGAGCGCGUGGCGGGCAGCGCCGGGGGAGCGCGAGGCGCGGGCGCGUGUAGCGGGACGGACGGGUUACAAUGUAGACGGAGCGGCGGACGCAGCACUUAUGGGCUCGGAGGCAGUGGAGGACUGUGUCCAGGGGGCGCUUUCCUCCCUCUACCCCCCAUUUGAAAGUACAGCCCCCCCACUCCUGUCCCAGGUGUUCUCCGUGCUGGAGUCAACCUAUCAGCAUGACAGCUUGCGAUACCUCCUGGACUACUUCAUCCCAGCCAAGCACCUACUACACAGGCUACAGCAGCACGCGUGUGCCCAGUACUUAGGCUGCCUCUUCUUGCACUCCGGUUGGCCCCUCUGCCUGGGGGAGAAGGUGGUGGUACAGCUCUCCACCCUGGACUGGAGGCUGCUGCGCAGCACUGACUUCUACCUGCAGGUGGUGCCUUUCUCCACCCGCUGCCCCCGCCUGGCCCUUAAGUGCCUGGCCCCCGGUGGCCGCAACGUGCAGGAGAUCCUAGUGCCCGAGUCGCAGCACGCCCUCGUGUUCACCCCUGAGUGGUUGCAGAGCGUCAACAAGGAGCGGGGGUUCAUGAGAGAAGGUGCUGGACGCCUCGACACCUGUCUGGUGAGCACCUGUGAUGGAGUGGUCCGGUUGCCGUGGGAGGAGGUGGUGUACCCCAAGUUCGUCCACCACGAGGCCGGCGACGCUGACAGCUCCUCCGCUGGCCAUGACUGGGGUUCAUCCUGCGACCUGGACUCUCUGUCGUGGGAUGAGGAAGAGGAGGAGGAGGAGGAGGUAGAGGCGGAGGAGGAAGAUCUGCCUCCAGACGGCGACUCGGCAGACGCCGGAGGCGAGUACGUGGAGCUGAUGGAGCUGAGAGGUGGUCCGGAUGGUGGUUCGGAUCCUAAGCGGUACCUGGAGAUGCAGGGGAUCAGCAGCAGAACCAAGACGCUGCCGCUGUGUAGGAGGGGUCGGGCUAUCAAGCUGCGGAGGGGCAGGGCCUGGGGCCACGGGAAAUAUGAUCCCGCGGGCGCCAGGAGACCGUCUGGCAGUGCUGCACCGAAGGAAAGCCCCAGAUCCGCCAGCCUAGGGAGAGUGGCAGGAACGGCCGGAGACGGACUGGCAUUGAGUUCCGGGGCCUCCUCCCUCCGGUCCCCAAGUGAGCAGGACCAGGCUGGUGGUGGAGACACUCUGAGCCCCAGAGGCUCUGGACUGUCCCUGGUAGGUCCUGCCCCGGAGAGGAAACCUGGGGUUGGCAGGGAGAAGGACAGCAUUGGAGGGAGCUCACAGGCCUUGGGUGGAGAGCGAGGAAAGAGCGAGUCUGGAAACUGUGGGCCAUUGGGAGGCGAAAUGGUCGAUUCCAAAAUUGAACACGUGGAGAGUGAACGCACAGAUGUGCACAACGUUCCAGAUGCUGGUUGCGUGAUGGAGGACGUAGAGGCGAGAUCGGGUGAUGCUACCAAAGACCAGGGUACCUGCGAAGGUCUGUCGGCUGGGGUUUCCGGGCCUUCUCCGGAACCUUCUACAGAACCGCUUCACCACACCAUCCCCAAUUCUGGCCAGUGCAGCCAGGACAUCCCCGCACCUCCGAAGGACAGGGCGGAAGGACGUGUGGAUACAAAGCGCAGAGAGAGCCUUAGUCCUCCUGUUGGACCAACCAAAGACUUACCAACCCAACGCGGUUUAGAGACCGAACAAAGCGCAACCUCAACGGCCCUUCCUGCUGAGACGGGUCCGCGUCCUGCCCCCAUGUUGGGAGUAAACGGGCAGCUUGAAAACCCGCAGGACAAAGUUUGUCCGGUGGAAAAGGAAACGAAGGUAGCAGGAUUGAGACCACACAGGAGGAAGAGGAAGGGAAAGGGAGCCAAAGGAAAGGCUAAGCCGGCUGGGUGCGUGAGUCCGGGCGGCCGGGACCAACCCUCUGCAAAGACCCCCAGCAAAGUGUCCCGGGAUGAGGACAGCACAAAGCUGGACAGCCUUUCCCAAGAAGAGCAGGAGAAGGAUGAAUGUGCACCAGCCAAUGAGAAAGUGGACAGUCUGGAAGAUGGCAAGACUGCUGAAGAUAUCCCCAGCGUCCAAUCGGAAGCUCUGCCCAAGGAAAACGGCCAAUCGCACGACUCCGUUUCCGAUGGGUCUCUCCCAGAGGAAAAUUCCGACCAAUCAAGCGCUUCCCCUCAUCAGGCCCCUCAUCUCCUUAGGUUGCUGGACCCUGAACUCCUGGAGUCUGGAGUCAUAGCUCUGACAGGCACCGUGGACAGGGUGGGUCGGGCGCUGGUGGUAGCGCGGGUCCCAGAAGACGGUUACAGCAAAGAGGAGCUCUCCCACGUGCUGAUCUGCUACCACGCCAUAACACGCCCCUGGGUGCAGGAGAAAGGACUGGCCGUGCUGGUAGACAGCAGACUCUCCCCUCCCACCGCUCUGUGUCUGGCGGCUCUGCGGCACUUCCAGGACCUGGUACCAACUGGCCUGGGCUGCGUGCUGGUCCUCACAGAUGAGCAGCAGGACUCCAGUCCCCAGCGCCCGGAGGGUGUGGAGGUGCACGUGGUGCGGGGGACGGGCAUCCUUCAGCGCUUCGUGGAUCGGCUUCAGUUGCCCACAGCUCUCGAUGGAGACUUUCCGCACUCGCACUUGGACUGGCUCGCCUACAGGCUGAGCCUGGAACGCCUGACGGAAAGAUGCGAGAGCGCCCUCUCUCUGCUCGGUGGGGCAUUGCACUCCUUGGAGACAGAGCCUCUACCGCAAAGCACAAAGGUGGUGUCCCUCAGUGUGGCCAAACACAAGCAGCUGAUGAUGGACGUCUUGGCUGACCAAAGGCUGACCGAGCUGCAGAGAGGAGGUGGAGCCUGGCUGGCAGGACUGACCAGUCGUGGUACUGAGCCAGCGCUGAGGUCACAAGACUGCAGGGCUGCUCUAGCCGUGACCUCUGACCUCUACAACAGCGUGGACGACGCACUGCACAGACUGGUCCGAGUGUCCAACCAGAGGGGUCGAGACCUGGAGACCCUCGGCAAGCUGGUAGCUCUGGAGGAGAGACUGGACCAGUGUGAGAGGGAUAUAGAGAAGGUCCAGGAGCAGCUGGAGGGGUAUAAGGACACCCCCCUUUCUCUGAGCAAACUCUCCCUCAAACAGCAGAAGUUCAAGGCCUUCAGAGAGUCCACUCUGGAGCUCCACAGGGAAACCCACUCCGUGCUGGGACAGCUGGAGAGAUGGGCGGAGCUGGAGUGGGCGGGGCGAGAGUGGGCGGGGCUGGAGGCGGUGCUGGAGCGCCUGCCGCCGGUUAGGGAGCGGCUGCGGGACAUUUCGCACUGUCUGUCCGACUGCUGGACCCAGAUGGACAGCACACAGAGGCUGCUGUCCACACUCACCGAGGCGUCCCAGUGGUGCGAUGCCGUCUCCGCCGCCACAGGCCCCCCCUCCGCCUCGCCGCUCUCCUCGCUCCCCCCGAUCCCGCCCUCCCGUUUCCAGGACGCCCGGGCGCUGGCCAUGGAGCUGGGGGGCGGCCCGCUGCUGGAGCUCUGGUCUCGCACCCUGGAGCGCUACCAGCGCACGCUGGCCCAGUUCAAGACCCGGCUGCUGCAGGCUCCGCCCGGAGCCCCUCCCGUGCCCCGCCCCAAGGCGGCGUCGUCGUCCAGCAUGUGGGACCUGCUCGGCGCGGACGGGGAGCUCGAGGGCGAGGGCGAGGGCGACUGGGGGGGCCUGCAGUCCUGGGGGUCCCUGGCCUCUCUCUUCCGCCCGCAGAACUGCUCCACCCUGAAGAUCGGGGACGAGCGCAAGAAGGACACGGCAGCAGGAGGGGGGGGGUUCCUGCAAGCGCUGCUGCACCCUGCCAAGAAGAGUCCGCCCGAAGCCGCCCUUCCUCCCAAACCCCCCCGGAAACGCCACCCCAGCUUCGACCUGCAGGCCCUGCUGGCUCCCCGCCGCGGUCCCGCCAACUCGCGUCCGGGGGACCUCCCUGCCGCCACCAGCCGAAGCGCCCCCAUGUCCUGGCUGGGUCGAAAGGCGCUCGUCGAUCCCGUCCUCAGCAUCGGCGUGGCGGCCGCCCUCCCCGGGGACGGCGCGGCGGGCGGGGCGACGUCCGGGGCCGGGAGCGUGCUCAUCCGAGGAGUGGAGGUCAGCAGCAAGGAGGUGGUGGACCACACCGGGUCGCCGCGGCAGCACGUCCUCCUGAGCAGAGCGGAGAGGGAGACGGGGGGCGAGAGGCAGGGCACCACCGCCCAGAGUAAAAUCUGCCAGCUGUGGUGUCGGCUUCUCAGCUCGGAGCGGCAGUACGUGGCUCUUCUCAAAGGCGUGGAGGAGAACUACCUGCCCCCGCUCGACUGCCCCGACGCCCCCGCUCAUCUCCGGGGCAAGUGGGACUCUCUUUUCGCCAACUGGAGCAACCUGUGCGCCUUCCACACGCAGCACCUUCUCCCAGCCAUGGAGGGCGCUCUCACGCAAACCCUGCUCCUGCAGGACUGCUUCAGUAAAUUUAAAGAAGAGUUCCUGCAGUAUUCCCAUUACAUCAGGACGAAACCGGACCCGGACUCAGCGCUGGUGAAUCAGGCGGCCGAUUUCUUCAGGGUGAAGCUGCCCAUUCUGCCUCCGCUGUCCCCUUUGGCCUUCCCACAGUGCCUGGCGGCACCGACCCAGCGCCUCUCGCAGUACUGCGAAGCCCUGGAGGAGCUGGGCAGCCUCAACAGCGCCCCCGAGGCCGCGCUCUCCACCCUUAGGCACAUCCAGCGGCACGGCGAGGACCUCCGGGCCAGUGACCUCAUAGUGGGCUGUCCGGUACCGGUGGCCGAGAGGGGCGAGUUGGUGCGCCAGGGGGAGCUGCUAGUGUGUAGCGGCGCUCGCCGCAGGAAGGCGGGGCUCCGCUGCGUCUUUCUGUACCGGCACUUCCUGAUACUCACCAAGACCAAGACCCCCAGCUUGGGCCGGACCGUCUACAGCUUUAAGCACAGCAUUAAGGUGGGGGAGAUGGGGCUGACCCAGUGCGUCGGUGAGGAGGGUGUCAAGUUCGAGGUGUGGGUGCGACAAGCUUCCCGCAUGCGCGACUGCCUCACCCUCCAGGCACAGUCAAGCGACGAACGGACCGCCUGGACCCACGACAUCGCCCAGCUCCUCUGGACCCAUGCGAUCCAUAACACUGAGCUGUGUCUGAAAGAGAGCCUCUGCAUGGGGGUGUCCAGCAAGCUGCUCCUGGACGUGACGGGAGCUCACAGCACGUCUGACCUGGACUCCAGCUACUCGCUCAACGACAGAGUCCACAGCAGUUGCUCGGAUUCCUCCUCGGUGGGGAGUCACAAGGAGGGGGGGGGAUCACCGGCAUCGGGGAGGGACCCUGAAAAAAGUGUCGGACAGACGGGGCCCGCACAGCAGAACUCAUCUCCUUCCACUGCUGUGUAACCCUUAUCUCCACAACAACCGUAAGUUUCCUGGCACACACCCCUUUAUCCUACACUCUGCCCUGUCCUCCUCCUGCAUGGCCUGUUCACCACUGCGUUCUGUCCGUGGGAAGGAGACCGAGGCUCCCCUGUCCGCACCGCGGUACAUCGACGGUACCCGGAGGAAUCAUCGCUCCUGUUUCACUGAGAGGAGCAUCCGCAACGGGGCCAAACUGGAUCUUGUUGGAACAAAAGAGUGUGAUGGACAAGGACGCCGUGGGACAGAACACUGGAAACGCCGACAUCGCGCAACCCCGCCCCCCCCCCCAGCCUCCUUGCCCCCCGUGGGCCACCAUCUUGGCUCCGGCUGUCACAGUUGCACAAGCGGCUGUUGAAAUCAGAGCCUCGCCCAUUAUUGGCUUCACCUCAUCAUUCCUGGUCCGAAGAAAAGAAGAACCGCGACCAGCAGCAGCAGCAGCUCUGGAUAAGUAGGAAGUCUGCAUCAGAAGUGGGUUAUUGGUGACAAUCAUAACUCCCAUGACAGUCAUGUGCAAAAUAUAUGUUGUAUGAAAUAGCUCUUGUAUCCACGCUUUCGGUGACCAAAGUGCAGAACACGCAGUAUUACAAAUGUAAAAAACUAACACUAUUGACUGUAACAGCAAAGAUACACAUUUCAAUUAAUUUAAAUGUAAAUUUAAUUUAAAUCACACUUGUUACAGCGAAACCUUGGAUGCGAGCGAAGAGCACAUACUGCGCACAAACCCGCAGUUCUGCUAUUCAUAUAUAUAGGAAUACGUAUAUUAUCCCAGAGGCAGAGUUUCUUCUCCUUCACCCGGAACACGGUGAAAUCAGCAUUUUUUAAUACGUACCGACAGCAGCUCAGCAUUUCUGUCGAAUCCAUGUCUUAUUUACCCACACUUUUAAAAAGGAGGUGUGAGCAGCAGCCGCCGCCGCCACCUGCCAAAAUCAUCAUGUCAUUUCUGAGUUGUGGUGGGGAGACUCCAGGCCUUCAUUUCUUUCUCACCUGAAAAGUCGCAUCAGUGUGUGUUUGCGUCAGCUACACUAACCUGGCACAUAAUACCAAGUAUCACCUGUGUAACUGUAGCAGUAGCGUUGCCGUACCGUGGUAUGGAGUGCGGCGGCCCAUCGCCCGUGACCUGCUCGACCUCUCCUCUCCAGCGCUCUUUCCUCAUCUCCGCAAACCGACGAUCGAGUCGGACUCGUUCAGGUGUCCGCUGCCCUCGGUCCGAGGGCGACGCCUCAAAAGAUGCAGAUGUAUCGGGAAAUGAACAGAAUAAAUUUGUAUCAGUGGCAUCAUUAUUACGCUCGUCGGACUUGGCCGUAUCUGGUUAAAUACAGACACUCCUCUACUUACGUAAAUUUGACUUACGUGUAAAUUCGGAUUUACGUUAAAAAUUCCCGCCGUGCACAUUUACAGAUAGCGCUUAUGCAAAACAUCUGAAAUAACGUUAAGUGCAAGUCGGCGUAGCCAGACAAGGCAGGAAGCUGCAUCUUCCCGGUUCCUGCGAGUUUUGAGUCGUGAACACGUCUCCUUUCGUUAGUGUAGUGUUUUUUUGCGCAUAUUUUUACCAAUUUCGUUAUUGACAACGCCUGGUGGUAAAUGUGCACUUGAAGAAAAACGAGAGCCGUCUCGCAAGCGUACAGCAAUCGAUUUGGAGAUGAAAAUGGCAAUAAUAAGGAAGUAUGAAGGUGGAAAAAGAUGAUAAUCUAUAACACGGAAACCAGGUUCAGCCGUAUCGACUAUAAAUACGAUAGUGAAGGAUGCUGCACGUAUAAAGAAACACGUGAAAGGAACAGCUAGCAUGAAAACAACCAUAAUAACGACGAAAUAUCAAGAUGCAAUAACUGAGAUGGAGAAAUUAUUAAUGUUGUUAUGUUAAAUGGUGGGGGAGGAGGAGGAAUCAGACGUACGUAAAUUGUGACUUACGUAAGCGGUUGAAGAACGGUCUAUUUGCGUAAGUCGAGGGGUGUCUGUAUGUUGCCACCCGCGUUCUUCUAUACGUGUUACAGUAAUUCACAGCAAUUCACGUGUCUCCUUGUCCUUUCUGGUGUUCGCGGAACAUGCAGGACUGGAGGGUGGUUGGGAAAGGACUGCGAUUUGUACAUUGUCCCAUUUGAUGCGGACGAUCGGUGAAAAGUUUGAGUAAACUCGCUUUAAAUUUUUUUCUUUUUUUUUUAUUAUUGUUAAAUUUUAAUUUUGAGCAGGAAAUGGCCCAGCAUGUGUUCUGCAGCAGUUUCCAGGGAUGUAGGACACUUGGCUAUUUCACCGUACAGUCCAGUUUACCCCAUACAUGUAUUCCCCAGACUGUCCGGGCGUACUCAAACUUUUGACUGGAGCCGCAUAUUCUCUUACUCCAUAUCUUGUGUAAGAAGCCCUUGCUGGUUCAGCGUUUAAGUGGCCGUAUCAGACUUGCUCUUUUUCACCAUCCUGCAUUCGCCAGCAGGCGAAGAAGGGAAAAAUCUGAUGUACUGUUUGGAGAUACAGUAAAUGUACAGUAAAUGUGUUCGUUCGCUCGCUACGACCUGUUCUGAAAUCUGUUUACUUACCUGCAGUUGGAUUUACUCAGAUGUACUUACUCACCUGCUGGGGUUUCACCUACUGAGUUGUUGAAGGUGCUUGGAAUAAAAAAAAAACAUGUAUUUUAAAAUAUAUUUACUACAUACAGCUAUGUUUAAAUGAGCUUCCCAGCAGAUUAAGUUUUGCAUUUUUAUGCUAAUCAUGUUCAGUGUAAAUAUGGUCUAUUUCACCAGAUAAUAUUAUAUUAUUGUUUCGG